This 445-nucleotide ribosomal RNA is filed under the name uncultured bacterium. Its description in RNAcentral is "SSU rRNA". It matches the Rfam family "Bacterial small subunit ribosomal RNA", at positions 26 to 518 of the family's 1533-position model. The record is from RNAcentral.
AGAGCGAACGCUGGCGGCAGGCCUAACACAUGCAAGUCGAGCGCCCGUAGCAAUACGGGAGCGGCAGACGGGAUAGUAACACGUGGGAACGCGCCCUUCGGUUCGGAAUAACUCAGGGAAACUUGAGCUAAUACCGAAUACGCCCUUACGGGGAAAGAUUUAUUGCCGAAGGAACGGCCCGCGUCCGAUUAGCUAGUUGGUGAGGUAAUGGCUCACCAAGGCUACGAUCGGUAGCUGGUCUGAGAGGAUGACCAGCAUCACUGGGACUGAGACACGGCCCAGACUCCUACGGGAGGCAGCAGUGGGGAAUAUGACAAUGGGCGAAAGCCUGAUCCAGCCAUGCCGCGUGGAUGAUGAAGGCCUUAGGGUUGUAAAGUCCUUUUAACGGGGAGAUAAUGACGGUACCCGUAGAAUAAGCCCCGGCUAACUUCGUGCCAGCAGCCGC